Molecule: ribosomal RNA, 740 nt
Filed under: Cellulosimicrobium sp.
Lineage: Bacteria; Bacillati; Actinomycetota; Actinomycetes; Micrococcales; Promicromonosporaceae
Description: bacterial SSU rRNA
Rfam family: Bacterial small subunit ribosomal RNA
Source: RNAcentral
GCUUAACACAUGCAAGUCGAAACGAUGAUGCCCAGCUUGCUGGGUGGAUUAGUGGCGAACGGGGUGAGUAACACGUGAGUAACCUGCCCUUGACUUCGGGGAUAACUCCGGGAAACCGGGGCUAAUACCGGGAUAUGAGCUACCUUCGCAUGGGGGUGGUUGGAAAGUUUUUCGGUCAGGGAUGGGCUCGCGGCCUAUCAGCUUGUUGGUGGGGUGAUGGCCUACCAAGGCGACGACGGGUAGCCGGCCUGAGAGGGCGACCGGCCACACUGGGACUGAGACACGGCCCAGACUCCUACGGGAGGCAGCAGUGGGGAAUAUUGCACAAUGGGCGAAAGCCUGAUGCAGCGACGCCGCGUGAGGGAUGAAGGCCUUCGGGUUGUAAACCUCUUUCAGCAGGGAAGAAGCGCAAGUGACGGUACCUGCAGAAGAAGCGCCGGCUAACUACGUGCCAGCAGCCGCGGUAAUACGUAGGGCGCAAGCGUUGUCCGGAAUUAUUGGGCGUAAAGAGCUCGUAGGCGGUUUGUCGCGUCUGGUGUGAAAACUCGAGGCUCAACCUCGAGCUUGCAUCGGGUACGGGCAGACUAGAGUGCGGUAGGGGAGACUGGAAUUCCUGGUGUAGCGGUGGAAUGCGCAGAUAUCAGGAGGAACACCGAUGGCGAAGGCAGGUCUCUGGGCCGCAACUGACGCUGAGGAGCGAAAGCAUGGGGUGCAGACAGGAUUAGAUACCCUGGUAGUCC